Molecule: ribosomal RNA, 301 nt
Filed under: uncultured bacterium
Lineage: Bacteria
Description: partial 16S ribosomal RNA
Rfam family: Bacterial small subunit ribosomal RNA
Source: RNAcentral
CAGUAGCCGCGGUAAUACGGAGGGAGCUAGCGUUGUUCGGAAUUACUGGGCGUAAAGCGCACGUAGGCGGCUUUGUAAGUUAGAGGUGAAAGCCUGGAGCUCAACUCCAGAAUUGCCUUUAAGACUGCAUCGCUUGAAUCCGGGAGAGGUGAGUGGAAUUCCGAGUGUAGAGGUGAAAUUCGUAGAUAUUCGGAAGAACACCAGUGGCGAAGGCGGCUCACUGGACCGGCAUUGACGCUGAGGUGCGAAAGCGUGGGGAGCAAACAGGAUUAGAUACCCGGGUAGUCCCUGUCUCUUAUAC